AGAAAUCCGUUAGUGAAAUAUUAACGGACCCUUUUCCCGUUAGAAAUCCAUAAGUGAAUUUUUGGAGCCAAAUACAAAGACCUAAAUGAAAUCCCUAAAUCCUUUGCUUGUAAAAUCAAAAUCAAAAUCACUCUGAAAUCUGAACUUGCCUCCAACUUCUCGGUCGUUCACUGUCGCCGGCAUCCAUCGUCCGGCGCCAUCAAUGGUUCGCCCCCAUCCACCGUCGACAAGUGCGCCCUUUCUCGGCAUCACUGUCCACGUGCUCACUGAAAUCUGAACUUGCGUCCAACGGAACGGUCGUUCACUGCCGCAGCAUCCAACGUCCGCCGCCAUCAAAGGUUCGCCGCCAUCUAUUUCUAAAUUUCCCACUCCACGAUUUCAAAUUUCCUCGAAAAAACUUGUUCUUUAUUGGAAAACUAUUUGCUUCGAUUUCUUUAUCUAUUUCCUCAAAAAAUCUGAACCUGCACCAGCUCAAGGAAAACUUUUUUUUUUCCAAGAAAAAAGAAAAGCUCAUGGAAAAAUAGAUUGAUUGUGGAUUUUUGCUAUAAAAAAAAAUGCAUGCCCAGGUUGUUGGAAAUAUUGUAAAGCAUGAAGAUGGGUAUUAUUUUUUUUUUUAAAGCUAUAUUGCUACCUGUUUGAAUUUAUAGCAUUUGGAUGAAACUGAUAUGUUGUGCGUAUCCUAUCAUUCAGGUCUGAGCAUUGUG
This 704-nucleotide long non-coding RNA is filed under the name Manihot esculenta (cassava). Its description in RNAcentral is "long non-coding RNA (MESC_LNC012904)". Lineage: Eukaryota; Viridiplantae; Streptophyta; Magnoliopsida; Malpighiales; Euphorbiaceae. The record is from RNAcentral.